GUGUCCACUCCUCUGUGUAAUGCUUGUGACCAUCUGAUAUCACAAGUAGAUCAUCCUCGACCUGCUGCCCAGCAACUGCACUCACUGAUUCUGAGCCACUUCUUUCUCCCUUCUUGCUCUUCCAUAGUGGACAUUCUCGCUUGAAGUGCCCGAACUCAUUGCACUUGAAGCAUUUCAUCUCUUUCUUUCCCUUCCUGGACUUGGACCACCCCCUGGACUUGCUUCUGCCUCUGCCUCUACUUGUCCUCUCCCCUACUGCCAAACCCUCCUGGGGAGUCCGAUCUCUGAUCAACUUUUCUCUUUUCU
Molecule: long non-coding RNA, 306 nt
Filed under: Elaeis guineensis (African oil palm)
Lineage: Eukaryota; Viridiplantae; Streptophyta; Magnoliopsida; Arecales; Arecaceae
Description: long non-coding RNA (EGUI_LNC071002)
Source: RNAcentral